CCACSSAKAGUUUUGAUCAUGGCUCAGAUUUGAACGCUGGCGRCAGGCCUAACACAUGCAAGUCGAGCGGAUGAAGGGAGCUUGCUCUUGGAUUCAGCGGCGGACGGGUGAGUAAUGCCUAGGAAUCUGCCUGGUAGUGGGGGAUAACGUCCGGAAACGGGCGCUAAUACCGCAUACGUCCUGAGGGAGAAAGUGGGGGAUCUUCGGACCUCACGCUAUCAGAUGAGCCUAGGUCGGAUUAGCUAGUUGGUGGGGUAAAGGCCUACCAAGGCGACGAUCCGUAACUGGUCUGAGAGGAUGAUCAGUCACACUGGAACUGAGACACGGUCCAGACUCCUACGGGAGGCAGCAGUGGGGAAUAUUGGACAAUGGGCGAAAGCCUGAUCCAGCCAUGCCGCGUGUGUGAAGAAGGUCUUCGGAUUGUAAAGCACUUUAAGUUGGGAGGAAGGGCAGUAAGUUAAUACCUUGCUGUUUUGACGUUACCAACAGAAUAAGCACCGGCUAACUUCGUGCCAGCAGCCGCGGUAAUACGAAGGGUGCAAGCGUUAAUCGGAAUUACUGGGCGUAAAGCGCGCGUAGGUGGUUCAGCAAGUUGGAUGUGAAAUCCCCGGGCUCAACCUGGGAACUGCAUCCAAAACUACUGAGCUAGAGUACGGUAGAGGGUGGUGGAAUUUCCUGUGUAGCGGUGAAAUGCGUAGAUAUAGGAAGGAACACCAGUGGCGAAGGCGACCACCUGGACUGAUACUGACACUGAGGUGCGAAAGCGUGGGGAGCAAACAGGAUUAGAUACCCUGGUAGUCCACGCCGUAAACGAUGUCGACUAGCCGUUGGGAUCCUUGAGAUCUUAGUGGCGCAGCUAACCGCGAUAAGUCCGACCCCSCCC
Molecule: ribosomal RNA, 883 nt
Filed under: Pseudomonas aeruginosa
Lineage: Bacteria; Pseudomonadati; Pseudomonadota; Gammaproteobacteria; Pseudomonadales; Pseudomonadaceae
Description: bacterial SSU rRNA
Source: RNAcentral